CUGGUGGUCACACAACCUCCUCUCUUGCAGCCUCCACCACGGCCCCAUCGGUUUUCCCACUGGCCCCCAGCUGCGGGGCCACCUCCGGACCCACAGUGGCCCUGGCCUGCCUGGUGUCCGGCUACUUCCCUGAGCCUGUCACUGUGUCCUGGAACUCCGGCUCCUUGACCAGCGGUGUGCACACCUUCCCGUCCGUCCUGCAGUCCUCGGGGCUCUACUCUCUCAGCAGCAUGGUGACCGUGCCCCCCAGCAAGUGGGCCAGCGACACCUUCAUCUGCACCGUGGCCCACCCAGCCAGUAACACCAAGGUGGACAAGAGAGUGACCAAACCGCCACCUUCUGAAGAAUGCAAAUGUCCGAAAUGUCCAGAAUGUAAUAUGCUGGGAGGACCUUCGGUCUUCAUCUUCCCCCCGAAACCCAGGGACACCCUCUCCAUUUCCCGAACCCCUGAGGUCACAUGCAUGGUGGUGGACCUGGAAGAACCUGAGGUCCAGAUCACCUGGUUCGUGGACAACCAGGAGGUGCACACGGCCAAGACAAAUUCGCGAGAGGAGCAGUUCAACAGCACCUUCCGUGUGGUCAGUGUCCUCCCCAUCCAGCACCAGGACUGGCUCAAGGGGAAGGUCUUCAAGUGCAAGGUCAACAAUAAAGGUCUCCCAUCCCCCAUUGAGAAGACCAUCUCCAAGGCCAGAGGGGAUCCCCAGCAGCCCAGUGUGUAUGUCCUGCCCCCACCCCGGGACGAGAUGACUAAGAACACCGUCAGUGUGACCUGCCUGGUCAAAGACUUCUACCCACCUGACGUUGAUGUGGAGUGGCAGAGCAGCGGCCAGCAGUUACCAGAGGCCAGUGUCCGAACAACCACGCCCCAGCUGGACGCGGACGGCAGCUACUUCCUCUACAGCAAGCUCUCGGUGGACAAGGCGCGCUGGCAGCGGGGAGACGUCUUCACGUGUGCAGUGCUGCAUGAAGCCCUCCACAACCACCACACACAGAAGUCCAUCUCCCAGUCUCCGGAGCUGCUCCUGGACGACAGCUGUGCCGAGGACCAGGAUGGGGAGCUGGACGGGCUGUGGACCACCAUCUCAAUCUUCAUCACCCUCUUCCUGCUCAGCGUGUGCUACAGCGCCACUGUGACCCUCUUUAAGGUGGGCGUCCCCACACGUCCCUUCACUGCAGCCUGCUGUCCCCGUGCUGUCCCCACACUAUCCACGUGCUAUCCCCAUCUGUCCACAUGCUGUCCACACGCUGUCCAUAUGCUGUCCCCAUGCCAUCCUCACACUGUCCACAUGCUGUCUCCACACUGUCCCCAUGUUGUCACCAUGCUGUCCUCGACAGUCCCCUCACUUCGGCCCACUCUCCCUACACUGUCCCCAUGCUAUUCCCAUGCUGACCCCAUGCUGGCCACACACUGACCCAGAAUUGUCCCCAUGUGGUCCCCACACUAUCCACGUGCUGUCCACACGCUGUCCAUAUGCUGUCCACGUGCUGUCCCCGCACUAUCCCCACAUUGACCCCACAUUGACCCCACACCGAACCAAAACUGUCCCCACAUUGACCACACACUGUCUCCACACUAUCCCCACGCUAUCCCCACACUGACCCAAAAUUGUCCCCACGUUGACCUCAUCCUGUCCCCAUGCUGUCCCCACAUUGACCCCAAACUGACUUGACACUGUCCUCUCUGUGUCCAUGUGCUGUCCCUUCAUUACUUCCUCAAUGUCCACACUGUUCCCACACCAUCCCCAUGCUGUCCCCACACGGUCCCUUCUGUGUCCACAUGCAGUCCACAUGCUGUCCCCACACUGGCUCUUCUGUGUCCACAUGCAAUCCACAUGCUGUCCCCACACUGUCCCCUCUGUCCCCACACUGUCCCCACUCUGCCCCAUCUGUGUCCCCACACUGUCCCUUCACUGACUCCUCAUGCCCACUUGCUGUCCACUCGCUGUCCCUGCACUAUCCUCUCACUUACCCCAUGAUGUCCAUUCUGUCUCCACAGAAUCCCCAUGCUGUCUACAUGCCAUCAUCUCACUGUCCCCAUGAUACCGCAUACUGUCCCCACACUGUCCCUUCACUGACUACUCACUGCCCCCUUGCUGUCCCCAUGCAGUCCCCAUGCUGCUCUUGACCACCCCCUCACUGUUGUCUGCUGUCCCCACACUAUCCCCACGCUAUCCCCACACUCUCUCCAUGCUGUCACAUGUUGUCCCCAUGCUGUCCUUACGUUCCCAUGCUGUCCCCACACCAUCAUCUCACUACAGCCCACUGUCCCUAUGCUGUUCCCAUGCUGUCCCCACACUGACACCACACUGUCCCUAUGCUAUCCCCAGGCCAUCUCCAGGCAGUCCACACACUAUCCCCAUGCUUACCCUAUGCUGUCCCCACGCUGACACUAAACUGUCCCCACACUGUCCCAACAUUAACUCAUGUUGACCUACACUGCCCCCCACACUGUCCCUAUAAUAUGGCCCAUUGUCCUCAUGCUGUCCCCACACUGUCCUCGUACUGUCCCCACAUGAUGGUCCGCUGUCCCCUCACUGUCCCCAUGAUUACCCCAUGCUGCCCCAUCACUGUCCCAAGUCCCCAGCUGUCCCCAUGAUGUCCACACAUUAUCCCCACACUGUCCCAUUGCUGUCCCACACUGUCUCCAUGAUGAUCUCGCACUGUCCCCACACUGUCCCCUUACUAUCCCUACACUGUUCCCUCACUGCUCUCCUGCUGCUCCCUCUCUGUCUGCAUGCUGUCCACACAUUAUCGCCACACUGUCCCAUUGCUGUCCCCACACUGUCCACACAAUGAACCCUCAUUGUAUCCACACUGUCCCCACACUGACCCCGGAUGACCUCUUACCGUCCCCUCACAGUGGGCCAGUGUCCCCACACUGUCACCUCACUGCCCCCUCUGCCCCUUCGCUGUCUUCACGCUACCCACACAUUGUGCCAUCACUGUCCCCACGCUGGCCCCAUAAUAACCCUUGAUUGUCCCCACACUGACCCCACACUAACCCACACUGUCUCUACACUGUCCCCAUUAUGACCCCACACUGUACUCUCACUGUCCCCUCACUGUCCCCACACUGUCCCCA
This is a non-coding RNA of Enhydra lutris kenyoni (northern sea otter), 3082 nucleotides long. The record is from the annotation of a RefSeq genome assembly. NCBI's taxonomy places the organism in Eukaryota, Metazoa, Chordata, Mammalia, Carnivora, Mustelidae.